Molecule: transfer RNA, 73 nt
Filed under: Elusimicrobia bacterium RIFCSPHIGHO2_01_FULL_64_10
Lineage: Bacteria; Pseudomonadati; Elusimicrobiota
Also listed under: 2 other names
Description: tRNA-Ala
Rfam family: tRNA
About the family: Transfer RNA (tRNA) molecules are approximately 80 nucleotides in length. Their secondary structure includes four short double-helical elements and three loops (D, anti-codon, and T loops).
Source: RNAcentral
GGGGCUGUAGCUCAGCUGGGAGAGCGCGUCGUUCGCAACGACGAGGUCGAGGGUUCGAUCCCCUUCAGCUCCA